AGGGGGUGCCACACAGCGCAUGAAGCCAACCUUCCGCCUCCUUGUUAAUGGUUCCCCCUUCACUCCUUCACCCUACCUCUUUCGCAGUCAUCACUGCCAUCCAAAUAGCAUUUUGCCUCUUCUCACGCUUUUGUGUGCAUGCCGCGUAGGUCCCUCCUCCGUUCUCAGCACUCUCUCGCAGUGAUCCUGCGUCGUGUUUUGAUGGUGCGCCAUCGGUGUCUUCCUCUGCGCCUUGCCCUCCUCCAUUCGUUUUCAGGCUCUUACGCCUCGCUAUCCGUCCGGAAAGCGAAGCUGGCCACGCUCUUCUGUCCGGUUUGGGCCUUUCACCACAACGGCUCACCUUAACGUGUCUCCCCUCUUUGGCUGCUUUUUUUUUACAUAUAUCGCGGUGAAGUCUUGCCUUGGGCAGCGAAUGCAGCCGUCCACCCAUCGCGCUCUGCCGAUGCGAUCUCCUGUGCCUUUCACAGCCAGUCCGUGAGCAGCUGCCCGCCGUUUCAUGGAAGGACAGGAGACCUCCGCGCACCACUACUGCACCCGGCCCCUCUCUACCCUCUGCUCCCCUCGCAAGCACCUUCCUCAGCGAGCGACUCCAGCAUCCACUCUUCGGCGAUGACGUUCCUCGUCCAGACGGGGCCCCGACCCGAGCCGAGUUCGUCUGGUUGGACCCGAACGACAGCCCCCGUGCACGGGCUGGUGCAGCACAGCCGGCAUACCCUCUCUCUCAUGUUUGCAUAGAUCAUCCGACGACUGCACAGGUGGCAGGCCGUACCCCAUCCUCCCUGGGUCCAUCGGGGGGGGUCUAGGGAGGGGCGGCCUUCUCAUAUCGAAAUCCUUCACCUUAAGGAGGGAGGGGGGAUCGCCCCCACCUCCUCCGCCAAGCCCCGGGGGCGUUGACCCCGAGCGUUACAUGGGUACGCUCAGCGACGGGAUUCGCCGCAAGCAGAACAAGCUCCAUCGCGGCUCGCCUCACACCGGAGGACGACCUACAGACGCUCUUCCAGCCAUCCGCAGAAGCCCUCUGAGCGCCUCAGCAGGAACGGGCUAUCCCAGGCAGACGGCAAUGCUCUUCACCACGUGGCGCAGCGGCUUGUCGAGAAUCGGCCGCAUCGCCACGCGUCAACACGGCCAGCAAGCCGCAUGCCCAUCACAGAACCGCCCUUUGCCGGAUUCCUUCGAUGCUGCGCGGAGCGGGGCUGUGGUACCCGUGACCCCGACGUUGCCGCGGUCUGGUGGCGCUGUGGGUGGGCGGCAGCAACAAAGGGCAACGCGAGGCUGCUGCACACGGCACCUUCUCCUCAAGGGCGGCGAGACCUUUGCGAGCCGGAAGAUGAUGGCUUACCAGGUGAUGAAGGUGAAGCGUUUUCCAGCUAGGAGGAUGCACCAUGCAGGCUGCCUCCAGCAACCUAUCGACCGAAUACAACACCGCGUUCGCCCGGGACAUCAGCAGCCCGAACAACGAGGACAGCGUGCACGCCUUGAAGGCGGCGUUCGACUUCUUCGUGACGCAAGCGCGGCACGGACGGCGUUUCGUUCUCGGCGCCCCUCGGACCAAAGACGAGGCCCUUAGUGGACGGAAUAGCCGAAGCCUUCUGCGCUGAGCCGGAGGCCGCAGCGUGGACACGCGCUAGCCAGCACCGGUCGACCGAACGCGACGCCGUCAUCACGAAGCACGGAGGCCCUCACCUAAACAACAGCAACACAGGGGCGGAGGAGGAGGCCCAGGCGCGAGCACACUCAAGGCGGCAGAAACGGGAGAAAAAUGUGCCGCCAACGCCCUCGUGCGACUCUUGCCGCAAAAGCCCCUUCCGCACACACACACACACACAUAAAUAUGCGCGCCGUUGGAUCCGUCUGCCUCGCCAACUGAGGGGGAGGGGGGCCUCAUCGCGAACGGACGCUCCUCAACACGGCAUGACGGGCCGAAGGGGCUCUCCUCCCGCUGCGUCCAGCACGGCCGACGACGCAGUCCGGCUUGCUACCCUUUUCCCGCUACGUCGCACCUUUGAUGAAUCAUCGCCGUCUCCUCGCUGGGAAGACGGCCAGCAGCUGGGACGAAGUCUGCCGUCUGACCCCGUAGAGCUUCCUAAGCGUCUCCAGCGCC
RNAcentral lists this unclassified non-coding RNA (2101 nucleotides) under Leishmania donovani. RNAcentral describes it as "gene:unknown". The record is from RNAcentral. Lineage: Eukaryota; Euglenozoa; Kinetoplastea; Trypanosomatida; Trypanosomatidae.